Molecule: long non-coding RNA, 859 nt
Organism: Lycium barbarum (goji berry)
Lineage: Eukaryota; Viridiplantae; Streptophyta; Magnoliopsida; Solanales; Solanaceae
Exons: 3
Source: RefSeq, a predicted model, not a curated record
UUGAAGUCGGGACUUUUGACCAUUUGAUUUUAUUUUGAGACACAAAUUAUAUAUGAAAUUGAUGGCAUUGAACACUUAGGGAAAAUUGGGACCACAAUUCAUAAAAUUGGGAUUAAAAAUCUUGUGCAAAAAGGGCCAUGUGGCCGUGUGAAUUUAAAGGGGUCCCCACAUUGUGUGGCCAAAUUUAAUUGGUCCAACACAUGUGUGGACCAUAGGGACAUGGAGAUAUUUUAGUGGGAACUUAAAAAUAUGACCUCUAAGUCAUUUCUCUUCAUUUCUACACUUAGAAUAAAAAUUAAGAAGGAGGAGAACAACAACUCCAACCUCACGGCUAAGAGGAGAGAAAAACAAGAUCAUUUUUUUGCUUUCCAAAAAUCAAUUCCUUGGUGUUAACCCACUAUAUUGAAGUCCCUAAGUAGCGUGGAAGAGUUGUUUGGGCCAUCCAACCACUAGUUGUGCCCAAUUGCAAACCCUAACUAUUGAAGGAAGUGAAGAACAAAGACCUUGGGGAGCCCGAGAGGUAAAUUUGGAGUAGCUUUAGAUUGGCUAGCUUGGGAGUGCGUUCGAGGUACAGACGCACAGUUCGGUGAUCCCCCAGUUUAGGAUAUCCCCUUCAGCUGUUUGGAGUGCUCUUCUCAUUUCAGAGCAUACACUUUUGGUAUAUACUUUUGUUCGUUAUGUAUGUAUAUAUAUUUGUUCCGGGUACGGCGGGGUCCUGUUCCGCCAUAUGAUUCGUUUGGUCUGUUUAGAGGUCUGUAGACUUAUUUGUGGGUGUGUGUGCCUACUACUGUACAGUUGUGUCCAUAUGAUCUCUUUCGUUAUGGCAGCCUUGUCGGCUCGCACAUGUAUAUGUUGUUCU